CGGCAGCAGGAGGACAGCAGCUCUAUCCUCCGAUUUCUGGAAAUACAGAACAAACACAGGUAUCUCAGUAUCACUGAACUCUGACUGAGAGGACUGAUGAUCUUCCAAUCCAGCUCUCAGGACAGCUUGUUUACUGCUGGACUUCCCUUCAGCGGAAAGCCCCUCAACUUUAUCUCACUCCAGCGUGUUCCUAGAGCUCACCAAGAGCACUCAGCCUGUUCCUGCAGAGAACCACAGUGGAAUGUUUCAUGCCGAUGUCCUUGCCAGGAGAAGAAGGCCGGUGCUGCAGACGCUGCGGGCAAACCACCACCGUGAUCAUAUAGAAAGUGGAAGCGGAAUCAGAACGGCUCAGUCCUAAAGGGCAAAUCUUAGCGUUUGUGUGUCAUCAGCUUCUAAAGAAAGAUUUGUGGACAGUGAAAAGACGGCUCAUAAAAAAGUUCUGAGCUUACUGGCACAAGAGCUUCCCAAGAAGUAGGACAUGAAUAUGCAAAAUGAGUCCCAGAGAGAAGGCUCUCUCUGGGCAGGCGAAAGGAGGAUACGGGAGAGGAGGAGAGAGGGAGAGGCCGAGCGAGGGAAGCGGGGAAGAGGAGAAGAGGAGGAAGCAGGCUGCUGUGAGUGUUUCUCUGGCAGUGUCUUAGCUGGUUGUUGUGAGGAGUGAGAACGAAGCAAUCAGCAAGUAUACUGCCGCAGAAACUCGUCACCAUACGAGGCCCAACUACCCAACGCUACGACCCUCACACACACACACACACACACGUACAGUCCACUUCAGUGCCCUCAUUUAGUACUGAUCAUGAGGUGUAAACAAAUCCCAUGAGUUUAGAAUGAUUUUUUAAGAAAAAUUAUUCAUAAUUACUAUGAUUCAUAUGAUUUAAACUAUUUUGCUACAAUUCAGAAAUAAUUUCUUUAAACAAACUACAUGUACAACCAUAACUGUAAGUUAUUUUACAGAAUUGUAUUUGUUAAAAAUUAAAGUGCAUUCAUAUUUUAUUUAGUGUGUGCUUAAAAAAUUCAAUAUAUUUUAUUUAAUACAAAAAAAUAAUAAAAUUAAAGAUUUAGUGAAUCAUGAUCACUCAUUCAAUCAUGAAUUAAUUCUGAAAUAUAAAAAAAAAAACAUGCACAAUUAUGACUGGCAGCUUUGUUAUUUGCCAGUAAAUUUUAUUUAUUAAAAAUGAAAUGAUGCAUGCAUGCUUGAAUUUAGUCUAUUAUAUAAUAUAUUAUAAUGUGUUCCAAUACAUUUGGAACAGUAGUUUUAUUGUUGCACUGUACAUAUUUUAUGUAAUACAUUGACCAAUUAAUAAGUUAGUGAAUCACAAUCAUUUCAUCAUUUCAUUUGAUUAAGACUGUUUUGAGAAUCUGAAUUAUUUUAAAUGAUACAUUAUACACAUGUAACUGGCAGCUUUGUUCAUAGUAUAAUAUUAUUGAAAUAUGGUAUAAUUUUGACCGAACUGCCCAUUCAUUUUUAUUGAAUUUUAUUAAAAAUAAAUAAAUGCAUAUGUACUUUAUUGAACAUACUAUAUACAAUUGUAUUAUUUAAUAUAUUACUAAACACAUUGCCUACCCCUCUUUAUUUCCAUCUAGGUGUGUGCUUCAGUGUAUGUUUGUGUGUGUUAUUAAUAAAACAAUCAAUUUAAUAUUAAAAUGUUUGUUUAUAAAAUGCAAACCUUAAACACAUUCUUUCUGGGUUUUGUUUACGUUGCCAGCUUUAAACUGAAUGCCUCUCUCUCAGCUACAGUUCAUUCUCUAAGUUACAGUUACAGUAACUUAAAUCUGGGCUCCAGAGUGGCAUUAGAUGUCUAAGCGUUUGCCACAGCUACCCUUGGCAGAGACCUCCAUUGAGGACAACUGGCCUCACUCUCUCUGUAGGUGUUAGCUGAUGCAACAGAACUCACCUCCAAGCCUGUUCAGCUGUCCAAUGAUAUUGCAUGAGUAGCAGUUCUAAACAGGCACAUUUUGUAUUAAAACUGGAGAGCAAUACAGAUUUAAAACCUAACUGUAAUGUAAAUAUGUGAUUCUUCGAUAAA
Long non-coding RNA from Astyanax mexicanus (Mexican tetra), 2024 nucleotides. RefSeq lists it as uncharacterized. The transcript is spliced from 4 exons. Lineage: Eukaryota; Metazoa; Chordata; Actinopteri; Characiformes; Acestrorhamphidae. The record is from RefSeq and is a predicted model, not a curated record.